Molecule: ribosomal RNA, 434 nt
Filed under: uncultured Clostridium sp.
Lineage: Bacteria; Bacillati; Bacillota; Clostridia; Eubacteriales; Clostridiaceae
Description: partial 16S ribosomal RNA
Rfam family: Bacterial small subunit ribosomal RNA
Source: RNAcentral
ACGGAAGGCAGCAGUGGGGAAUAUUGGACAAUGGGGGAAACCCUGAUCCAGCGACGCCGCGUGAGUGAAGAAGUAUUUCGGUAUGUAAAGCUCUAUCAGCAGGGAAGAUAAUGACGGUACCUGACUAAGAAGCCCCGGCUAACUACGUGCCAGCAGCCGCGGUAAUACGUAGGGGGCAAGCGUUAUCCGGAUUUACUGGGUGUAAAGGGAGCGCAGACGGCAAAGCAAGUCUGAAGUGAAAGCCCGGGGCUCAACCCCGGGACUGCUUUGGAAACUGUUUAGCUAGAGUACUGGAGAGGUAAGCGGAAUUCCUAGUGUAGCGGUGAAAUGCGUAGAUAUUAGGAAGAACACCAGUGGCGAAGGCGGCUUACUGGACAGCAACUGACGUUGAGGCUCGAAAGCGUGGGGAGCAAACAGGAUUAGAUACCCUGGUA